RNAcentral lists this ribosomal RNA (468 nucleotides) under uncultured bacterium. Its description in RNAcentral is "partial 16S ribosomal RNA". It matches the Rfam family "Bacterial small subunit ribosomal RNA", at positions 28 to 507 of the family's 1533-position model. The record is from RNAcentral.
GACGAACGCUGGCGGCGUGCUUAACACAUGCAAGUCGAACGGAAAGGCCCUGCUUUUGUGGGGUGCUCGAGUGGCGAACGGGUGAGUAACACGUGAGUAACCUGCCCUUGACUUUGGGAUAACUUUAGGAAACUGGGGCUAAUACCGGAUAGGAGCUUCUGCUGCACGGUGGGGGUUGGAAAGUUUCGGCGGUUGGGGAUGGACUCGCGGCUUAUCAGCUUGUUGGUGAGGUAGUGGCUUACCAAGGGUUUGACGGAUAGCCGACAUGAGAGGGUGACCGGCCACAUUGGGACUGAGGUACGGCCCAGUAUCCUACGGGAGGCAGCAGUGGGGAGUAUUACACAGUGGGCGGAAGCCUGAUGCAGCGGCGCCGCGUGCGGGAUGACGGCCUUCGGGUUAUAAACCGCUUUCGCCUGUGACGAAGCGUGAGUGACGGUAAUGGGUAAAGAAGCACCGGCUAACUACGUG